RNAcentral lists this ribosomal RNA (253 nucleotides) under uncultured bacterium. RNAcentral describes it as "partial 16S ribosomal RNA". It matches the Rfam family "Bacterial small subunit ribosomal RNA", at positions 524 to 776 of the family's 1533-position model. The record is from RNAcentral.
UACGUAGGGUGCAAGCGUUAUCCGGAAUUAUUGGGCGUAAAGAGCUCGUAGGCGGUUUGUCGCGUCUGCUGUGAAAACUGGAGGCUCAACCUCCAGCCUGCAGUGGGUACGGGCAGACUAGAGUGCGGUAGGGGAGAUUGGAAUUCCUGGUGUAGCGGUGGAAUGCGCAGAUAUCAGGAGGAACACCAAUGGCGAAGGCAGAUCUCUGGGACGGUAUUGACGCUAAGGCGCGAAAGCGUGGGGAGCAAACAGG